This 497-nucleotide ribosomal RNA is filed under the name uncultured bacterium. Its description in RNAcentral is "partial 16S ribosomal RNA". It matches the Rfam family "Bacterial small subunit ribosomal RNA", at positions 33 to 507 of the family's 1533-position model. The record is from RNAcentral.
GAUCUACGCUGGCGGCGUGCCUAAUACAUGCAAGUCGAGCGAACAGAUGAGUAGCUUGCUCCUCUGACGUUAGCGGCGGACGGGUGAGUAACACGUGGCUAACCUACCUUUUAGACUGGGAUAACUUCGUGACACCUGCGCUACUACCGGAUAAUAUCUUGUACCGCUUGGUUCACUCGUGAAAGCCCGUUUUGCUGUUACUUAUAGAUGGAUCCGCGCCGCAUUAGCUAGUUGGUAAGGUUACGGCUUCCCAAGGCAACGAUGCGUAGCCGACCUGAGAGGGUGAUCGGCCACGCGGAAACUGAGACACGGUCCAGACUCCUACGGGAGGCAGCAGUAGGGAAUCUGCCGCAAUGGGCGAAAGCCUGACGGAGCAACGCCGCGUGAGUGAUGAAGGUCUGCGGAUCGUAAAACUCUGUUAUUAGGGAAGAACAAAUGUGUAAGUAACUAUGCACGUCAGGACGGUACCUAAUCAGAAGGCCACGGCUAACUACGUG